AACACCUUCAGGGAGAGAAUUACGAGCCCAGCGAAGAGAAGAAAGAGGCCACUGUUAUUUAUCAUGGCAGGCCCGGGGUGAUUCAUGAAUAACCAUCGGUUUGCUUUUUUCUCGUUUCCCUUCCCUACCAGAAGGAAGGCUGGGAGGUAUGAAUUUGAAGCUGGACACGUUGCUGCUCCCCUUAAAGUUUGGAUUAUUUUACUAAAGAAGAAGAGAACAGGAUCUUGUGUCUUCUACCAGUAUCCAUGAGAUUGUGGCAGGCUAAAAUCACAGACUCUUCAGAGUUUUCAUAAUGAUAAAGUAAAUAUUGCAAAGUACACAUACAAUAAGUGUACAAUUGAUGAAUCCUACAAAGUGAACUCACUCAUGUAACCAGCACCAGAUGAAGAAAAAAACAUCAGCAGCAUCACAGAAGCCCCCCAAAUGUCCCCUUCAGUCAAUAGCCUCCCAAAGAUAACCACACUCCUAUCUAGCAGUGUGGGUUAAUUUUUCCUGUUUUUGAACUUUGCAUAUAUUAAAUCAUACAACAUGUA
Molecule: long non-coding RNA, 533 nt
Organism: Homo sapiens (human)
Lineage: Eukaryota; Metazoa; Chordata; Mammalia; Primates; Hominidae
Product: long intergenic non-protein coding RNA 237
Source: Ensembl